This 253-nucleotide ribosomal RNA is filed under the name uncultured bacterium. RNAcentral's name for it is "partial 16S ribosomal RNA". It matches the Rfam family "Bacterial small subunit ribosomal RNA", at positions 524 to 776 of the family's 1533-position model. The record is from RNAcentral.
UACAGAGGUCUCAAGCGUUGUUCGGAUUCAUUGGGCGUAAAGGGUGUGUAGGUGGCGCCGUAAGUCGGGUGUGAAAUUUCGGAGCUUAACUCCGAAACUGCAUUCGAUACUGCGGUGCUUGAGGACUGGAGAGGAGACUGGAAUUCAUGGUGUAGCAGUGAAAUGCGUAGAUAUCAUGAGGAAGACCAGUGGCGAAGGCGGGUCUCUGGACAGUUCCUGACACUGAGACACGAAGGCCAGGGGAGCAAACAGG